ACCCAGGCCUGCCCAAACUGGUCUUUCUCAUUGCAGGGUGUGGGAGAACAUAGGGCUUUGUGGGUCCCUGGGGACCUGCCAGGCCCAAGGCUGUUGCUCAGCUGUGGGAGGCACGCCAGUUCUCAGGUCUGCUAAUGAGUGGUGUGGUGUCUGGCAAGGAACUUGCCUGGAGUGAGUGUGACUAACCAUGAAUCUUUUCAAUAAUGCUGACAAUUCAUUCUCUUUUCUCUCCUUUACCCGCUCUCUUUGCUGGAGCUGGCUGAAAUAGGAGCAAAUUAGUCUCAUUCUGGAAAAGGCAGGGCAUGAUAAAGGACCCCCUAAAAGGUUUCCAGAGCUCCGUGCCUGAAUGUUUUGCAGUCCGUGUAAUUAUCUGACUUGGGUGAGUCGACAGGGUAUUUUUUUUGUUGUUAUUUUCUACACUCAAUAGCAGGUGGCAUCUGAAGAAGUGCCUUGUUACUGUUCCACUGGACUAUUGAACAAAUUUACAUUUGACACCAGCAAAGGUAGUGUCAUUAUUAUUCUAUGUGUGUUCCAACCCGAACUGAUGACCCUCCAUUUCCUGUUCAAAGGCUAUGUUUCUUUCAAGGGAAAGAUAAUGUUUCCACCCCUACAUGGAAAUGUGGUAGACCUUAAAUGCCCUGGACUUCUAACCGGGGGUGGGAGCUGAAGAGGGAAUGAACCUUUCCUCUUCUCCCUGCUGCCACCCGUUUUGUUGUUUGAUUAAGUGUUCUCUGAGUGUCUAACACCUGAGCUGAACCUUGCAUUCUCUCACUGGGAAGUAUGGGACAGAAGCCAAGAUGUAGGCCAGGAGAACUGCAUGUAUCACUGAUUUGACCGGAACAAGAGCUUAGUGAGGUAGAACCCAUUGUGUCCGGACUUGGUUUCUUCAGAUGUGUCCGGAGUUUCUUCUUGGCCUCACCGACUUCAAGAAUGAAGCCACGGACCUCGCGGUGAGUGUUACAACUCUUUAAAAGGUGUUUGCCCCUCCCUGUGGGUUCGUGGUCUUGCUGACUUCGGGAAUGAAGCCCCAGACUCUCGCAGUGAGUGUUACAGCUUUUAAAGUUGAUGCGGACCCAAAGAGUGAGCAGC
This 1089-nucleotide long non-coding RNA is filed under the name Homo sapiens (human). RNAcentral describes it as "HSALNT0200357". The record is from RNAcentral. Lineage: Eukaryota; Metazoa; Chordata; Mammalia; Primates; Hominidae.